GGUGGCUCAGAGGGUAGAGCACAGGACUUGCACAUAUGAGGCCCUGGGUUCUAUCCCCAGCACCA
Molecule: transfer RNA, 65 nt
Filed under: Erinaceus europaeus (western European hedgehog)
Lineage: Eukaryota; Metazoa; Chordata; Mammalia; Eulipotyphla; Erinaceidae
Rfam family: tRNA
About the family: Transfer RNA (tRNA) molecules are approximately 80 nucleotides in length.
Source: Rfam by way of RNAcentral